RNAcentral lists this long non-coding RNA (1057 nucleotides) under Carassius auratus (goldfish). Its description in RNAcentral is "lncRNA (ENSCARG00000008172.1)". Lineage: Eukaryota; Metazoa; Chordata; Actinopteri; Cypriniformes; Cyprinidae. The record is from RNAcentral.
UGUAAACGUUAAUAAACUAUAAUUUUACAGGUAGAAUUAUUCAUUUUCGAAUUGUACUGUACCCACAAAUUUAAACAAUUUAAAUCCCUGGUUGUAUAUUUAAAUUAUGCAUGAACGUUCCCAAACACGGUGACAGUGCGAGCUCAUGAGAUAUGUGAUUGUUGUCAUAUUUCUUUAAAAAUCAAAAAAUUUAUGAUAAAUACACUUUUCGUAUGGAAUCAAAAAGCAAGCACUUUGAGUGUCUUGAUCAUCAUAUUUAUUUACAUAUAAAAGCAACAGAACUGAGAUUAUAUUAUGUAUAUUAGCAACACAGUACGUGAGUGUGAAUAACGCGAUAUCUGCCUUUGAUCUCGUUGCUCUGUCUGUUCCACUUGGAGAGGUAGGCUACAGUAAGAAUUCUGUCCGUCUUGACUGCGUUUAUUUCAAUCAACCGGCACAAAUGCAUCUCAAACAAGCCUAAUGUUUAAAAAAUGCACAUGACCUCGCGCUCCUUCUUUCUAAUCCAUUAUGCAAAUUGCGUUCCAUUUCCAUGACGUCACACAGCAGCCGCGAAAUCGCUGAAUCUUUCUGAGGAUUCAUAUGCUGAUAGGAGUAUCAUAUGUGUACAGACGCUAAUUUUCUGAGUGAAUUUGCAAUACAGAGAGUUUGUUUAGAUUCAGUCAAACAACCACAGUGCACAAAUUUGAUACAUUUUCACUGGACAAUAUCUUCAAGAUUAUCGUCCGUGUCUGAGGAGAGUGUAGAGAGCCAGUUGAGUGUCAUGGAGGCCCCUCCUGUGGAGCAGAGCUCAACAGUUUCAGAAAAGCAUGCCAGCAAGCGGAAGAAGAACAUAAUUUCUUGUUUCUUCAAGAAAGUACGUAAGGCUGUGAAGCUUCCCAUCUGCUCCAAGAACACAGUGGACUGUCUACCACAGCAGGACCCACAGUUUGACAACUCUACACCUAGCCUGGAAGGGUGGAACGACGCCGCUUUAUCCAGUUCGGAUGGCUGCCCAGAGCAGUCCAGCUUCACACUUCCAGGUGAAGUGCUUGUUGAACCAGUAAGGGCUUCAGCUUGC